CGGACGGGUGAGUAACACGUAGGUGACCUGCCCCGAAGUGUGGAAUAACAGUCCGAAAGGAUUGCUAAUACCGCAUGUGGUCUGUGAGGUUAGAGUCUUGCAGACUAAAGCAGUAAUGUGCUUCGGGAGGGGCCUGCGCCCCAUCAGCUAGUUGGUAGGGUAAUGGCCUACCAAGGCAACAACGGGUAGGGGGCCUGAGAGGGUGACCCCCCACAUUGGCACUGACACACGGGCCAAACUCCUACGGGAGGCAGCAGUGAGGAAUAUUGCUCAAUGGGCGAAAGCCUGAAGCAGCAACGCCGCGUGCGCGAUGAAGGCCUUCGGGUCGUAAAGCGCUUUUGAGAGGGACGAGAUAGGACGGUACCUCUUGAAUAAGUCACGGCUAACUACGUGCCAGCAGCCGCGGUAAAACGUAGGUGGCAAGCGUUAUCCGGAUUCACUGGGCGUAAAGCGCGUGCAGGUGGCUUCGUAAGUUGGACGUUAAAUCUCCCGGCCUAACCGGGAGGAGUCGUUCAAUACUGCGGGGCUGGAGGGCAGAAGAGGGGGGUGGAAUUGCUGGUGUAGUGGUGAAAUGCGUAGAUAUCAGCAGGAACACCCGUGGCGAAAGCGGCCCCCUGGUCUGCUCCUGACACUCAGACGCGAAAGCUAGGGGAGUGAACGGGAUUAGAAACCCCGGUAAUCCUAGCCGUAAACGAUGGAUGCUAGGUGUGGGUGGUAUUGACCCCAUCCGUGCCGAAGCCAACGCGUUAAGCAUCCCGCCUGGGGACUACGGCCGCAAGGUUAAAACUCAAAGGAAUUGACGGGGAC
This 807-nucleotide ribosomal RNA is filed under the name uncultured Caldilineaceae bacterium. RNAcentral's name for it is "bacterial SSU rRNA". It matches the Rfam family "Bacterial small subunit ribosomal RNA", at positions 99 to 920 of the family's 1533-position model. The record is from RNAcentral. Lineage: Bacteria; Bacillati; Chloroflexota; Caldilineae; Caldilineales; Caldilineaceae.